CUCAAAAAAAAAGCUGUAAAUCCAGGGCCCAAAAGCUGCCCUCAAUGGGAAGUGGAAUCGUUUUCUUCACCUCUUCAAUAUGGCUGGCCCUGGAACUUCCCUUGGCACACAGAAUGCAGCAGAAUUGGCUUCAUAUUGUUUCUAAGCCUUGGCCUCGGAGGCCUUGCAUGCUUCCUAACCCUGGCUCUAGGAAACUUGUUGCUGUCAUGUAAGCAAGCCCAGGCUAACCUGCUGAAUGUUGGUGUGUCUCAGUCAAAUCCAGCACUGCAACCAAUAGCCAGCCGGCCACCAGACAUGUGAGUGGGGCCACCUCACACCAGCCAACCUCCAUCAAGUCAUCAGAUGUAUGAGUGAGAACAGCCCAGAACGACUGAGCCCGUCCAGACCAGCGGAACGACCAAGCUGACCAGUAGACUUAGGAG
This is a long non-coding RNA of Nomascus leucogenys (northern white-cheeked gibbon), 422 nucleotides long. RefSeq lists it as uncharacterized. The transcript has 2 exons. Lineage: Eukaryota; Metazoa; Chordata; Mammalia; Primates; Hylobatidae. The record is from RefSeq and is a predicted model, not a curated record.